Pelobates cultripes (western spadefoot toad) is the source of this 110-nucleotide non-coding RNA. The record is from the annotation of a GenBank genome assembly. Lineage: Eukaryota; Metazoa; Chordata; Amphibia; Anura; Pelobatidae.
UUACACAAUAUAAAAAACCAUAAACGCGUUUCGCCAAUCGGCGUUAUCAAUAUGGGCUAUCAAUAACGCCGAUUGGCGAAACGCGUUUAUGGUUUUUUUAUAUUGUGUAA